AGAGUUUGAUCAUGGCUCAGAAUCAACGCUGGCGGCGUGCCUAACACAUGCAAGUCGAACGCGAAAGGGGCUUCGGCCCUGAGUAGAGUGGCGAACGGGUGAGUAACACGUGGGUGAUCUACCUUUGAGUGGGGGAUAACGUUCCGAAAGGAGCGCUAAUACCGCAUGACGUCCUGGGUUUGAAGACCUGGAAACCAAAGUCGGGGACCGCAAGGCCUGACGCUUGGAGAGGAGCCCGCGCCUGAUUAGCUAGUUGGUGGGGUAACGGCCUACCAAGGCGACGAUCAGUAGCCGGCCUGAGAGGGCGGACGGCCACACUGGGACUGAGACACGGCCCAGACUCCUACGGGAGGCAGCAGUGGGGAAUUGUUCGCAAUGGGCGCAAGCCUGACGACGCAACGCCGCGUGGAGGAUGAAGGUCUUCGGAUUGUAAACUCCUGUUGAUCGGGAAGAAUGGACCCCGGGUUAAUAGUCCGGGGUAUUGACGGUACCGAUUGAGGAAGCCACGGCUAACUCUGUGCCAGCAGCCGCGGUAAUACAGAGGUGGCAAGCGUUGUUCGGAAUUACUGGGCGUAAAGGGCGCGUAGGCGGUUGCCUAAGUCGGACGUGAAAUCCCCAAGCUUAACUUGGGAACUGCAUCCGAUACUGGGUGACUUGAGUUCGGGAGAGGAAUGUGGAAUUCCAGGUGUAGCGGUGAAAUGCGUAGAUAUCUGGAGGAACACCGGUGGCGAAGGCGGCAUUCUGGACCGAAACUGACGCUGAGGCGCGAAAGCCAGGGGAGCAAACGGGAUUAGAUACCCCGGUAGUCCUGGCCCUAAACGAUGAGAACUAGGCGUUGGAGGGUAUUACCCUUUAGUGCCGAAGCUAACGCGUUAAGUUCUCCGCCUGGGGAGUACGGCCGCAAGGCUAAAACUCAAAUGAAUUGACGG
This 929-nucleotide ribosomal RNA is filed under the name uncultured bacterium. RNAcentral describes it as "bacterial SSU rRNA". It matches the Rfam family "Bacterial small subunit ribosomal RNA", at positions 8 to 916 of the family's 1533-position model. The record is from RNAcentral.